UACGGGGGGGGCAAGCGUUGUUCGGAAUUACUGGGCGUAAAGGGCUCGUAGGCGGCCAACUAAGUCAGACGUGAAAUCUCUAGGCUCAACCUAGGAACUGCGUCUGAUACUGGAUGGCUUGAAUCCGGGAGAGGGAUGCAGAAUUCCAGGUGUAGCGGUGAAAUGCGUAGAUAUCUGGAGGAAUACCGGUGGCGAAGGCGGCAUCCUGGACCGGCAUUGACGCUGAGGAGCGAAAGCCAGGGGAGCAAACGGG
Molecule: ribosomal RNA, 253 nt
Filed under: uncultured bacterium
Lineage: Bacteria
Description: partial 16S ribosomal RNA
Rfam family: Bacterial small subunit ribosomal RNA
Source: RNAcentral